This 317-nucleotide long non-coding RNA is filed under the name Salvia miltiorrhiza (redroot sage). RNAcentral's name for it is "long non-coding RNA (SMIL_LNC001723)". Lineage: Eukaryota; Viridiplantae; Streptophyta; Magnoliopsida; Lamiales; Lamiaceae. The record is from RNAcentral.
UGCGCAAAGUCUUGUCGAUUUCAGGGUCAAACUCAAAAAGAGGAUUUCCUUGAGAUCUAGUGUUCAUACGCAGCCUACAGAAACACACCUUAAAAAAAUUAGAACAGAAAAAUAAAAACAAAUAAAAACCUGAAGUACUAUAAAAUCCUAUCGGAAAUAUUAAAGUAAUUUCUAAUCAAUCCCCGGCAACGGCGCCAAAAAGUUGAUCACUAAAUUAUUAGCACAAAAUACCGCAACUAACACGGUGUAAUUGUAGCACAGAAAUAGUAACCAGAUAUCGUAUCCACAGGGAUUGACACAACGAAACGACUUUAUCU